CCCCAUCCUGAAUCGUGACUGAUAUCCCACAGCGAGUACUACCCUCCUGCAGCAACCCCUUACAGUUUCCCAGGGGAGUGUGGCCCCCCUUUCCCACACCGCAUCAAAUUUUUCAGUUUCACUCAUUUCUCAGUUUAUGGGUUAUGGGUAUGAGCCUGUGUAAAAUACACAUUUUUUUUUUUGCAAACUCCAGCCUGGCUCUUCCCUGCUUCUCAUUGAUGAAGGGCUUCUUUCUUGCUUUAUGGGUCUUCACCGCUGCUUCUAGGAGCCUGUCCCACCAGUACACUUCACACUUAAUGUUUUCCAUUCCUUUUGAAGGUCACUUGAGGUCAUCCUCCGAUUUGUUAGACACUGAGGGAUAAGUUGAUGGUCAUCUCUGGCAUUAGAAGGUUGCUUCUGCCCUCUACCUGGCUGGUUUUUGAUUUUUCGCAGUGUCUCCUGCUUCUUCCCCCUGUUCUUGUGUACUGCGGUCUUAGAAACUCACGAGCAUGGAAGCAGCCUGCCUCACAGUGUAGCCUUCUGCCAGCAGAACCAGGAUUAAACCAGAAUUUAACAAUGCAGAUUUUUAAAAAGUAUAUAGAGUGGUCUCUUAAUUUUUUACAGAGCUGUGUAUUGUUGCUGUGUAUUACAGAGCUUGCGUUCAUAGUGGGGUGCCGCAGGGUUCGAUUUUAGGACCAUUAUUGUUCCUAAUUUACAUAAAUGAUAUGGAUACCGAUAUAUACAGUAAAGUGGUGAAAUUUGCAGAUGACACCAAGGUGGGUGGUGUAGCAGAUACUGAAUUAGCGGCUCAGCAGCUACAGCGGGAUCUUGAUUUAAUUAAUGAGUGGGCCGAUACCUGGCAGAUGAAAUUUAACGUCGAUAAAUGUAAGGUACUCCAUCUAGGGAGCAGAAAUAUAAAGUACAGGUAUUUCAUGGGUGUCACUGAAAUAAAGGUAGCUGAUCAUGAGAAAGACCUUGGUGUGUAUGUUGAUGCUUCCAUGUCCCAUUCUCGCCAGUGUGGGGAAGCAAUAAAAAAGGCCAAUAGGAUGUUGGGGUAUAUCUCCAGGUGUGUGGAGUUUAAGUCCAGGGAGGUAAUGCUAAGAUUAUACAAUUCCUUGGUGAGACCUCACCUAGAAUAUUGUGUGCAGGUUUGGUCACCAUAUCUUAAAAAGGACAUUGUGGCCUUAGAAAAGGUGCAGCGUAGGGCCACAAAAAUGAUUCCUGGUCUUAGAGGAAUGUCAUACGAGGAACGGUUACUUGAGCUAAAUCUGUUCAGUCUCAAGCAAAGGAGACUGAGGGGGGACAUGAUCCAGGUAUAUAAGAUUCUAGCAGGUUUGGAUGCUGUUCAACCAAAUAGUUUCUUCAGCAUUAGUUUAAAUACACGAACUCGUGGCCAUAGGUGGAAAUUAGCGGGAGAACAUUUCAAGCUGGAUUUAAGGAAGCACUUCUUUACACAGCGUGUAGUCAGAGUAUGGAAUAGCCUUCCUGAUAAUGUAGUGCAAGCUGAAUCCUUGGGUUCCUUUAAAUCAGAGCUGGAUGAGAUUUUAACGACUCUGAGCUAUUAGUUUAGUUCUCCCCAAGCGAGCUUGAUGGGCCGAAUAGCCUCCUCUCGUUUGUAUAGUUCUUAUGUUCUUAUGUUUAUAUGUAUCUAUUUUAUGUUUUGGCUGCAUGUUUGAACCUGAGACCAGUUUUCAAAUGGAGUCUGUUUCAGAAUACUACAUUCACACCCCCAAAACCUUCAUAUCCCAAAUACUGCAUCAUGAAAGGUGAAAAUUGGUAGGUUUAUGCUGGUGAAAUAAUGAAAAUAGAUGCUGCUGCUUUUAAAUCAUUCACAAGGUUGUUUAUUGAGAUGGUUUAUUGAAAGGCAUCUAACAAUUUCAAACACAUAUGGAGAUAUAAUAGACAUUCGCCUCAGAAUUAUAUUUUAUGUAAUUUUAUCUUUAAAGUGACCUUAUUAAAUUUGUUUCCCGAAGUAAUAAUUUCAUCCCACACCCUGAGUGCUUUUGCACGCUGGUUAUAUGUGCUGUUAGUGUGCUAACAGCAUUUUCUACCCAGGGAGUCUGAUCGAAACCCAAAAUCAAGCUGCUGCUGUGAGCUCCUGCUGAGCACCCUGCUCGGAGGCAUGUACACUCGACGGACGCUACGGAGUGUUCCAGUGACCGCCCACUAGUACAUAUCUGCUAGACUCGACACUCGCCGUACCGUACACCAGACAAAGCAUAACACAGUGAGGUGAACAGUGAUUUCUAUCAUCUAUAUUCUUGUCCUCAGUAGGCGUUAUGAUGCUGACGUGUCACUGAACGUGUCAGCCAAUGUAGUCCAUAUCUGGUUUGAUAUCUUACUCCUGGGGAUACCUGCAUUUCUAGGGACACAUUGAACUGCUUAUAGACUUUUCCCAGUUUAGACCGUAAACCCGAACUGGACUGUGCAUGAGCAGAUAAGUAUCAUUUCCGCUCACUACUGCUUCACGGCAGCUGGGCGAUUUCACAAAUUGAUUAAUUGCAGUUUUUUUUUCUUAACAAAGGUUGUACUUAGCACUUAUUUGAAUUAUUGUGUAUAUAUGUGUUUUUAGGGGGCGGCAUGGUGGUGCAGUGGUUAGCACUGUUGCCUCACACCUCUGGGACCUGGGUUCGGGUCUCCACCUGGGUCACAUGCGUGCAGAGUUUGCAUGUUCUCCCCAUGUCGUCGUGGGGUUUCCUCUGGGGACUCUGGUUUCCCCCCACAGUCCAAAAACAUGCUGAGGCUAAUUGGAGUUACUAAUUUGCCCAUAGGUGUGCAUGUGAGAGUGUGUGAGUGUGCCCUGUGAUGGGCUGACCCCCCAUCCUGGGUUGUUCCCUGCCUCGUGUCUAUUGCUUCCGGGAUAGGCUCCGGACCCCCCGUGACCCAGUAGGAUAAGCGGUUUGGAGGAUGGAUGGAUAUGUGUUUUUAAAUUACAAAGAUUAUUUUAUUUAAAGCCUCAUGCCCAUUGCUUCUGGGAUAGGCUCCGGACCCCCCGCCACCCAGUAGGAUAAGCGGUUUGGAAAAUAAAUGGAUGGAUGGAUGGAUUUUAUUUAAAAAUAGUAUUUAGCACGAUUUGGCUUAUUACAGUUUAAUAAUAUUUUGUAAUUAUGACAUGUUAUAAUUGUAUUUUUAAAUAAUUUGUACUUAAAAGUCUGUGGUACAUUGGGCGGAGCUUAAAUUUGGACGUUAUUGUUAUUAUGAAUUAUGACGUCAUAAGAGGGAUGGGGAACGUAUCCCUUAUUCUCAUUGGUCGAGUGUUUUCUCCAUAUACCUUACAUUGCCGAUAGGGGGCCAUAUGGUUUGGGUGAUAAGGGUUGCUGUUAAACUUUAAUAGAAUAAAAAUACAUUACAUGUAUUUAUUUGUGUUAUUUUUAAUUGCGUUUUUAUGGAAUAAUAAAACAUAUGGCAGGAUGAAUGCAAGCUAGCGCAUACACAUCCAGCGGGGCCCGUCCGGCCACAGGCACGGGCUGUUAGGAGUAGGCACAAGCGCCACGGCGUAUUUUAAAAGAAUGUGGGGAUCUGAACAGGCUGGUAGGAGUAGUUGCACGGCACUGGUAAUUACACUAUAUUGGCAACCACUUGAGCCAGGUCAUAUGACCUACCAGGAAGUUAUAAAAGGCUGCCAAGAUGGAAUCUCAUUCUCUUGCUGCUGUGUUUUACAACUGGACAUGGGGUGGGUUCUUCUUCCCUGUGGGUAAGGAAAGGAGGAGAGGGUUUGUUUGAGAACUUGAAUGUUUAAUUUUAAUUUUACCAGGGUGACUGCUAGCAGCAUGUAACUCUUCAUGGAGGAUGCGAGGUUUGGAAUUUUAUCAUUUGACGUGAUCCCCUACGAGCUGCUGGGCUACAGACACUGAGGCUCUGGGGCCUCCUGAGCUGAGAGCUGCGCGUGCCGAUCUGACCUUACUAUCUGGAGGAUAGUCAGCUGCCCCCAACCCUGCCAGCAGCCUGUUUUAUUUGACUAAUUGAUUUUACAUAUUUGUAAUAAAGUGGAUUGGGUUUUAUUUUCA
Brienomyrus brachyistius is the source of this 3986-nucleotide long non-coding RNA. RefSeq lists it as uncharacterized. The transcript is spliced from 2 exons. NCBI's taxonomy places the organism in Eukaryota, Metazoa, Chordata, Actinopteri, Osteoglossiformes, Mormyridae. The record is from RefSeq and is a predicted model, not a curated record.